RNAcentral lists this ribosomal RNA (229 nucleotides) under uncultured bacterium. RNAcentral's name for it is "partial 16S ribosomal RNA". It matches the Rfam family "Bacterial small subunit ribosomal RNA", at positions 568 to 796 of the family's 1533-position model. The record is from RNAcentral.
UCCGUAGGUGGAUAAUUAAGUCAGAGGUGAAAUCCUGCAGCUCAACUGUAGAAUUGCCUUUGAUACUGGUUAUCUUGAGUCAUUAUGAAGUGGUUAGAAUGUGUAGUGUAGCGGUGAAAUGCAUAGAUAUUACACAGAAUACCGAUUGCGAAGGCAGAUCACUAAUAAUGUACUGACACUGAGGGACGAAGGCGUGGGGAGCGAACAGGAUUAGAUACCCUGGUAGUCC